CCUGAUCUAUGAUGAGUUGAAAUCAAGAGGACUGUUGGAUGAAACUUGGCGGAUAUGGGACUGAGAUCAGCU
Molecule: small nucleolar RNA, 72 nt
Organism: Eleginops maclovinus (Patagonian blennie)
Lineage: Eukaryota; Metazoa; Chordata; Actinopteri; Perciformes; Eleginopidae
Product: small nucleolar RNA SNORD99
Exons: 1
Source: RefSeq, a predicted model, not a curated record